AAAAAAUAUCCAUAAAAAAGUAGACAUGAUGAUAAACAUUCCACAAAAAACUGCAUGUUAUUUGGAUUAAUAUUUUUUGAGUUAUCAUUUUUUUAAUGUGAAAGAAAAAUAAAAAAAUGCAUGAACAAGUGUGGAUGAACAUGUGAAGGUAAGGUGAAAAAAUGCAAAAGCAAAAUGAAGAAAUGAUGGGAGCCAGAAUCGAAGUGUGUGUGUGUUUGAAAACUGGCGCGUUCAAUGAUGAAACGC
RNAcentral lists this long non-coding RNA (246 nucleotides) under Lathyrus oleraceus (garden pea). Its description in RNAcentral is "Pisum sativum (pea) long non-coding RNA (PSAT_LNC004634)". The record is from RNAcentral. Lineage: Eukaryota; Viridiplantae; Streptophyta; Magnoliopsida; Fabales; Fabaceae.